Molecule: ribosomal RNA, 492 nt
Filed under: uncultured bacterium
Lineage: Bacteria
Description: partial 16S ribosomal RNA
Rfam family: Bacterial small subunit ribosomal RNA
Source: RNAcentral
AGUGAACGCUGGCGGUAGGCCUAACACAUGCGAGUCGAACGGCAGCACAGUAAGAGCUUGCUCUUACGGGUGGCGAGUGGCGGACGGGUGAGGAAUACAUCGGAAUCUACUUUUUCGUGGGGGAUAACGUAGGGAAACUUACGCUAAUACCGCAUACGACCUACGGGUGAAAGCAGGGGAUCUUCGGACCUUGCGCGAUUGAAUGAGCCGAUGUCGGAUUAGCUAGUUGGCGGGGUAAAGGCUCACCAAGGCGACGAUCCGUAGCUGGUCUGAGAGGAUGAUCAGCCACACUGGAACUGAGACACGGUCCAGACUCCUACGGGAGGCAGCAGUGGGGAAUAUUGGACAAUGGGCGCAAGCCUGAUCCAGCCAUACCGCGUGGGUGAAGAAGGCCUUCGGGUUGUAAAGCCCUUUUGUUGGGAAAGAAAAGCAGCAGGUUAAUACCCCGCCGUUCUGACGGUACCCAAAGAAUAAGCACCGGCUAACUUCGUG